AAGUCGUAACAAGGUUUCCGUAGGUGAACCUGCGGAAGGAUCAUUAGAAAGUCCGCCUGGCGAUGCCCCGCGAGGGGCACCGCCGGCCUACCUUCAAACCACUGUGAAACGAACCGUUGCUUCGCGGCUUGGCCGGCCAUGCCCCUCGCGGGGCACCGCCCGGCCCUGUCAGUCCGCAGAGGCCCAAGACACAAACCAUUUCUGUAACAGUCUGUCUGAAACAAAUGAAUUAAAAUUCGUUAAAA
This 245-nucleotide unclassified non-coding RNA is filed under the name plant metagenome. Its description in RNAcentral is "partial contains small subunit ribosomal RNA and internal transcribed spacer 1". The stretch from base 1 to 46 matches the Rfam family "Eukaryotic small subunit ribosomal RNA", at positions 1786 to 1831 of the family's 1831-position model. The record is from RNAcentral.